RNAcentral lists this ribosomal RNA (517 nucleotides) under uncultured bacterium. RNAcentral's name for it is "bacterial SSU rRNA". It matches the Rfam family "Bacterial small subunit ribosomal RNA", at positions 28 to 526 of the family's 1533-position model. The record is from RNAcentral.
GAUGAACGCUGGCGGCGUGCCUAAUACAUGCAAGUCGAACGCUGGUCUAUUUUAGCUUGCUAGAAUAGACUGGAGUGGCGAACGGGUGAGUAACACGUGGACAACCUGCCUCACAGUAGGGGAUAACAUUUGGAAACAGAUGCUAAUACCGUAUAAGAGUUGUUAUCGCAUGAUAACGACUUAAAAGGAGCUUCGGCUUCGCUGAGAGAUGGGUCCGCGCUGCAUUAGUUAGUUGGUGAGGUAAAGGCUUACCAAGACGAUGAUGCAUAGCCGAGUUGAGAGACUGAUCGGCCACAUUGGGACUGAGACACGGCCCAAACUCCUACGGGAGGCUGCAGUAGGGAAUUUUCCACAAUGGACGGAAGUCUGAUGGAGCAACGCCGCGUGUGCGAAGAAGGUUUUCGGAUUGUAAAGCACUGUUGUAUAGGAAGAAUAAGGUAAACAGGGAAUGGUUUACUGAUGACGGUACUAUACGAGGAAGUCACGGCUAACUACGUGCCAGCCGCCGCAGUAAAAC